Long non-coding RNA from Drosophila mojavensis, 965 nucleotides. RefSeq lists it as uncharacterized. NCBI's taxonomy places the organism in Eukaryota, Metazoa, Arthropoda, Insecta, Diptera, Drosophilidae. The record is from RefSeq and is a predicted model, not a curated record. The transcript is spliced from 3 exons.
GAAAUGGAAUUGUUGGACGAGGUACUUUAGUAGUUUAGUUGAUGAGGUGCCAACUCCAACGUUCUAUUGAUCUACAUUCAGGUGUAAUUAGAAGAGUGCUGUUAAUAAACGAUAAACACGGCUGAAAGAUCAAUAGAGCUACAUAGAAAAGUAUAUAGAACUAUGCAUAGACAUUAGCUGCGACUUGCGAGUGCUGCUGCUGCUAGACAACAAACAACACGCAACAAACAGCAGGCGACAAGCAAGAGCAACUGUUGUCAACAGACGAAAAAAGAGAAGAAGAAAAGCUGAAGUCGGCUCGCUCUGAAGUUGAGUUCGUAUCUUUGGAUGGCUGCACAUGUCGUGUCUCAUUAAGAAAUGCAACAACACUAACAACAACAACAACAACAGCGGCAACAACGUCGGUUUCCUAACCUCAAUGUUGACAGUCGUCUGCCUCAGCUACCAACGCUUGCUUCAUUGUAAACGAUAUAUAAAUAUAUAUAUAUACCUGAGUACCUAUCGCAUAUAAGGCACAUCAGCCCAUAUAUGACUUAAUGUGCAGCGGCAAAAAAAAAGUGUGGCAAAGCGGCUGAGCAGGUUGCAGACAUGUUCACGUUGCAUGCCACCAACAACAACAACAACAACAACUGAGAGCAACGGUAGCAGGGGAAUUUUGUUGUCGUUGUUAGCGUAAUUGCCGUUGUUCUUGCUUUUAUUAUACUCUAAUUGAACUUAAGUUUAUUGAUGUUUUUAUAAAGUUUGCCACGUUUUAAGCGAAUUAUAUCCCAGACACUCUCGAAUUGAGUGAGAGGAGGGCUUAAAAAGUAGAGUGAAGCUUGAGAGUAUCCUAACUAUCUUAAUUUGUCUUAUCUAUCCCAUUAUAGCUACACAAUUUUCAUCUAUUAAGUAGUAACGGAAAAUAAUGGGAAUAUAACAUAAAUUUAUUUACUACAUUUCUAUAUCAAAAUUUUUGGAAAAUACAU